GAUGAACGCUGGCGGCGUGCCUAACACAUGCAAGUCGAGCGAAGCGCUUAAAUUAGAUUUCUUCGGAAUGACGAUUUUUGUGACUGAGCGGCGGACGGGUGAGUAACGCGUGGGUAACCUGCCUCAUACAGGGGGAUAACAGUUAGAAAUGACUGCUAAUACCGCAUAAGACCCCAGCUUCGCAUGAAGCGGUGGUAAAAACUCCGGUGGUAUGAGAUGGACCCGCGUCUGAUUAGCUAGUUGGUAAGGUAACGGCUUACCAAGGCGACGAUCAGUAGCCGACCUGAGAGGGUGACCGGCCACAUUGGGACUGAGACACGGCCCAGAUUCCUACGGGAGGCAGCAGUGGGGAAUAUUGCACAAUGGGGGAAACCCUGAUGCAGCGACGCCGCGUGAAGGAUGAAGUAUUUCGGUAUGUAAACUUCUAUCAGCAGGGAAGAAAGUGACGGUACCUGACUAAGAAGCCCCGGCUAACUACGUG
Molecule: ribosomal RNA, 481 nt
Filed under: uncultured bacterium
Lineage: Bacteria
Description: partial 16S ribosomal RNA
Rfam family: Bacterial small subunit ribosomal RNA
Source: RNAcentral